CCAAGUGUAAGUAUUCAGGAGAUGCUCGGUAUCGGUACUAAUACCGAUACUAGUAUCGGUAUUGGGACAUCCCUAAUUGGGUGUAAAUGACGGACAUGGCUUCUUAACAUGGAAAAUUAGUGAAAUCAAUACCAUUUCAUGGACUCACCUCCAUAAUAUCUUGCACCCCAUCCAGUCACCCAGCACUCCGUACCACAAGGGAAGGUGGUGGUGGAAGAUGGCAGACAGAUUGGCAUGAUGUACUGAGUAUAGUUGACAGGUGUGGCCAGCCGUAUCAGGGCGAUGUCCCCAGAGUCUCCAUCACUUACAUAUCUACUAUCGAUGAUGAUAGUUCUUACAUUGGCAACAACUGUAUGAGAGCUGAUCUCACCCAGCCGGUACAGGCCCAAAUAUACUUUAUAAUUCGACACCCGGAUAGGUCUGCAGAAAGAAAACAGAACAUAACAUGUAUGAAUGAGGAUCCAUCUGUUACAGGAGGCAAGGCAAUAUCAUUACUAUCAAUGAACUUCAGACUCUAAUGAAUGAAAUACAACUUGUUCAUAAUUUGUUUUCUACACAAGUCCAAUGGUAUGAACUCAGGCAGGAUCAUCAGUUUACUGAGAUAGCGCUGUGAUUGGACGCCUAUCAGGAAGAGGACGGGAGAAGACAUCGAAGACUCGGAGCGUGGAGUAUAGCAGCGUGACCCGAGACAGUUUGUUUGCGCCCCCCAAAAAUGUUGAGCCCCAGUCGCCACUGAUAAACAAUGUAUCAAUAAAGAUGUCCAUGACUGAUUUUUAGAAACAUUUU
Molecule: long non-coding RNA, 786 nt
Organism: Rana temporaria (common frog)
Lineage: Eukaryota; Metazoa; Chordata; Amphibia; Anura; Ranidae
Exons: 3
Source: RefSeq, a predicted model, not a curated record